RNAcentral lists this long non-coding RNA (330 nucleotides) under Phoenix dactylifera (date palm). Its description in RNAcentral is "long non-coding RNA (PDAC_LNC001948)". Lineage: Eukaryota; Viridiplantae; Streptophyta; Magnoliopsida; Arecales; Arecaceae. The record is from RNAcentral.
AGCCCGAGCUCGAGCCCGAGCAGCUCACGAGCCCAGACGAGCUCUAGUCUCCCACUGAAAAAUUUUAUUUCAGCACUAUAAUUCAUAAAAAUCUGACCACAUAGAGAAAAAUAGCCUGUUAUCAAGCCCGAGCCCGAGCUCGAGCCCGAUUACGAGCCCGAGCUCGAGCUCGUUCUAGAACUUGUAAUUGAAACGAGCUUUACGAGCUCAAGCCCGAGCCUUUGCUUUGCCAAGCGAGCCCGAGCUCGAGCCCAAUAUAGAGCUCGUUACCGAGCUCGAGCCCGAGCCCGAGCCCGAGCUUCUGUGAAACGAGCCGAGCCGAGCUCUCCC